RNAcentral lists this ribosomal RNA (285 nucleotides) under Shewanella sp. UCD-FRSSP16_17. Its description in RNAcentral is "partial 16S ribosomal RNA". It matches the Rfam family "Bacterial small subunit ribosomal RNA", at positions 1252 to 1533 of the family's 1533-position model. Lineage: Bacteria; Pseudomonadati; Pseudomonadota; Gammaproteobacteria; Alteromonadales; Shewanellaceae. The record is from RNAcentral.
AAGCCGCAAGGUCUAGCUAAUCUCAUAAAGCUCGUCGUAGUCCGGAUUGGAGUCUGCAACUCGACUCCAUGAAGUCGGAAUCGCUAGUAAUCGUAGAUCAGAAUGCUACGGUGAAUACGUUCCCGGGCCUUGUACACACCGCCCGUCACACCAUGGGAGUGGGCUGCACCAGAAGUAGAUAGUCUAACCUUCGGGAGGACGUUUACCACGGUGUGGUUCAUGACUGGGGUGAAGUCGUAACAAGGUAGCCCUAGGGGAACCUGGGGCUGGAUCACCUCCUUACCU